RNAcentral lists this ribosomal RNA (865 nucleotides) under uncultured bacterium. Its description in RNAcentral is "bacterial SSU rRNA". It matches the Rfam family "Bacterial small subunit ribosomal RNA", at positions 8 to 890 of the family's 1533-position model. The record is from RNAcentral.
AGAGUUAGAUCCUGGCUCAGGACGAACGCUGGCGGCGUGCUUAACACAUGCAAGUCGAGCGGAAAGGCCCUUCGGGGUACUCGAGCGGCGAACGGGUGAGUAACACGUGAGCAACCUGCCCUUAGCUCUGGGAUAGCUCCGGGAAACCGGGAUUAAUACCAGAUACGACCACUUUAGACAUCUGCUGUGGUGGAAAGAAUUUCGGCUAGGGAUGGACUCGCGGCCUAUCAGCUUGUUGGUGGGGUAACGGCCUACCAAGGCGACGACGGGUAGCCGGCCUGAGAGGGCGACCGGCCACACUGGGACUGAGACACGGCCCAGACUCCUACGGGAGGCAGCAGUGGGGAAUAUUGCGCAAUGGGCGAAAGCCUGACGCAGCGACGCCGCGUGGGGGAUGAAGGCCUUCGGGUUGUAAACCCCUUUCAGCAGGGACGAAGCGAAAGUGACGGUACCUGCAGAAGAAGCGCCGGCUAACUACGUGCCAGCAGCCGCGGUAACACGUAGGGCGCAAGCGUUGUCCGGAAUUAUUGGGCGUAAAGAGCUCGUAGGUGGUCUGUUGCGUCCGCUGUGAAAUCUCGGGGCUUAACCCCGAGCCUGCAGUGGAUACGGGCAGACUAGAGGUAGGUAGGGGAGAAUGGAAUUCCUGGUGUAGCGGUGAAAUGCGCAGAUAUCAGGAGGAACACCGGUGGCGAAGGCGGUUCUCUGGGCCUUACCUGACACUGAGGAGCGAAAGCGUGGGGAGCGAACAGGAUUAGAUACCCUGGUAGUCCACGCCGUAAACGUUGGGCGCUAGGUGUGGGAUCCUUCCACGGAUUCCGUGCCGCAGCUAACGCAUUAAGCGCCCCGCCUGGGGAGUACGGCCGCA